RNAcentral lists this ribosomal RNA (393 nucleotides) under uncultured bacterium. Its description in RNAcentral is "partial 16S ribosomal RNA". It matches the Rfam family "Bacterial small subunit ribosomal RNA", at positions 523 to 918 of the family's 1533-position model. The record is from RNAcentral.
AUACGGAGGAUCCGAGCGUUAUCCGGAUUUAUUGGGUUUAAAGGGUGCGUAGGUGGUUUGAUAAGUCAGCGGUGAAAGUUUGCAGCUUAACUGUAAAAAUGCCGUUGAAACUGUCGGACUUGAGUGUAAAUGAGGUAGGCGGAAUGCGUGGUGUAGCGGUGAAAUGCAUAGAUAUCACGCAGAACUCCGAUUGCGAAGGCAGCUUACUAAGCUACAACUGACACUGAAGCACGAAAGCGUGGGGAUCAAACAGGAUUAGAUACCCUGGUAGUCCACGCAGUAAACGAUGAUUACUAGCUGUUUGCGAUACACAGUAAGCGGCACAGCGAAAGCGGUAAGUAAUCCACCUGGGGAGUACGCCGGCAACGGUGAAACUCAAAUGAAUUGACGGGG